GGAAUUGUUCGCAAUGGGCGCAAGCCUGACGACGCAACGCCGCGUGGAGGAUGAAGGUCUUCGGUUUGUAAACUCCUGUUGCCCGGGACGAAUGGCUCCGACCUAACCCGUCGGAGUGUGACGGUACCGGGCGAGGCAGCCCCGGCUAACCCCGUGCCAGCAGCCGCGGUAAUACAGAGGGGGCAAGCGUUGUUCGGAAUUACUGGGCGUAAAGGGCGCGUAGGCGGCCUUCUAAGUCGAACGUGAGAUCCCCGGGCUCAACCCGGGAACUGCGUCCGAUACUGGAAGGCUUGAAUCCGGGAGAGGGAUGCGGAAUUCCAGGUGUAGCGGUGAAAUGCGUAGAUAUCUGGAGGAACACCGGUGGCGAAGGCGGCAUCCUGGACCGGUAUUGACGCUGAUGCGCGAAAGCCAGGGGAGCAAA
This 421-nucleotide ribosomal RNA is filed under the name uncultured bacterium. RNAcentral describes it as "bacterial SSU rRNA". It matches the Rfam family "Bacterial small subunit ribosomal RNA", at positions 358 to 772 of the family's 1533-position model. The record is from RNAcentral.